RNAcentral lists this ribosomal RNA (400 nucleotides) under uncultured bacterium. Its description in RNAcentral is "bacterial SSU rRNA". It matches the Rfam family "Bacterial small subunit ribosomal RNA", at positions 355 to 771 of the family's 1533-position model. The record is from RNAcentral.
UGGGGAAUCUUGGUCAGUGGGCGAAAGCCUGACGCAGCAACGCCGCGUGAGGGAUGAAGGCCUUCGGGUUGUAAACCUCUUUUCUCAGGGACGAUGAUGACGGUACCUGAGGAAUAAGCCACGGCUAACUACGUGCCAGCAGCCGCGGUAAUACGUAGGUGGCGAGCGUUGUCCGGAUUUACUGGGCGUAAAGAGCGCGCAGGCGGUCGGUCAAGUCGAGUGUGAAAGCCCCCGGCUCAACUGGGGAGGGUCAUUCGAUACUGAUCGACUCGAAGGCAGGAGAGGGAAGUGGAAUUCCCGGUGUAGUGGUGAAAUGCGUAGAUAUCGGGAGGAACACCAGUGGCGAAGGCGACUUCCUGGCCUGUUUCUUGACGCUGAGGCGCGAAAGCUAGGGGAGCGA